AAACAAACGUUUUAAAUACUUGAACAUCUUCAGAUUCGUGGUAACCAUGACUACCCGAAAAAGAAAAGGAGAGCCUCGCACUCUAGGAGCUCAGAUGCAACAAUUUAAUAACCAACGUUUCGACAGACAAGCUGUCUUUCAUCAGGGUAUAUUGACAAACACUGCAGGGGAGAGUGGGGAAGCAAACAACACGUUGUUUCACACACUGCUUGUGAUGCUCCAAAACAGUUUUUGAUGAGAGUCCGAGUGAAGGAAAGGAAAAGAUAAGGACAACAGAGGACGAGAGGAAGCGAAGGAUGAUGAACGAAGACAAGUGUAUGACUCACCAGUUAAACCUGUUCAAAUGAUUGUGAACCAACUGCAAUUUUCGCCCAAAGUCCAAGGAGG
RNAcentral lists this long non-coding RNA (387 nucleotides) under Salmo salar (Atlantic salmon). RNAcentral describes it as "lncRNA (ENSSSAG00000120327.1)". The record is from RNAcentral. Lineage: Eukaryota; Metazoa; Chordata; Actinopteri; Salmoniformes; Salmonidae.